Molecule: unclassified non-coding RNA, 433 nt
Filed under: Artemisia sylvatica
Lineage: Eukaryota; Viridiplantae; Streptophyta; Magnoliopsida; Asterales; Asteraceae
Description: partial external transcribed spacer
Source: RNAcentral
GUCCGUAAAGGUGGAUGAGUGGUGUUUGGUUUGUCACGUGUGGUUGGCUGCGGCGUUUGCAACAACUUCCAUGCUUUCAGACCUCUUCAGUUGUGCGGCAAGGCUUGUAUCGCCUUGUCGUAUUGUGGGUUUUCUGUGUUGUAUACCUAAUCAAUGGUAUCGGUUGGAUUGAUCAAUGUUUCAUUUCGUUUGUCGUCGCAUUCGCGGCGUGAGACGAACCUCGAUGCGGUCUCUUUGGCCCACCUCGUCGAAGCACAUGCUUUGACGUUGUGGCACAUUGAGCAUUGCUUGGUCUCUUGCAUACGGAACAUAUAGUGGGCAUGGAUCUAACGAUUCUUGUUUGCCCUCAUGUUAGCGUAACGCUUCUCUUACACGACUUGCUCCACGUUUUAGCUCGUACGGACGUGGUGCUAUGUCGAAGAGGAAUGCUACC